AUGGAAAGAAAAACGCGGUAGCGCCGCGCUCUGCCGCCUCCGCCUGGCGGCCCGGCUGCAGCCCCGGGGCUGCUCUUCGCAGAGGCGGCUGUGGAGCAGUGCUGCUCAGCGCGGCCCUGCGGGUUUGUAGCUGCCGCUCUAAUGUUUCCCAUUACGGCCUGCUUUUAGGGCAGGAGGUCUCGUUUGGCUAAAAGAAGGGCAAUGGACGAGCGUAAGGACGCGGGGAACCCGGCGUCCCAGUUAUCAGCGUCCCAGCAAAGCAAGGAGUUGGGGGAAUGGUGUUAUUCCCUGCGUGCUGCCUGGCAGCGCCCUCAGACCCUAAGGGUUGGCAUGGGCAGCUGUGUGAAAGUUAACAGAAGAGUGGGAAGUGUUGUGUUUGCUGACAGGACUUCAAUCUUGGCAGGAGGAGUGAUUAAGGAGUCAGUAGGUUGGAAAAGACCUGUAUGAUCACCUGGUCCAACCACCACCCCCGCCGUGCCCACUAACCACGUCCCUCAGUGCCACAUCUCAGUCCUUGAACACCUCCAGGGGCAGUGACUCCCCCACCUCCCCGGGCAGUCUGUGCCACUGAAUCACCACUCUUCUGGAAAGGGAUUUUUCAUACUAUCCAGCCUGGGUCUUGGGAUGCAGCAUUGCCUGCAGUCAGGCUGCUGUCCCAUCAGCUGCUGGAAAGCAGAUUGGGUUUCUUGUCAGACAGCUGAAAAGACAAACUAAACCAAUUCGUGUAUCCUGUUGGAGCAUAAAAUGAAAUUUAUAGGUUUCCUGGAUUUUUUAAUAAAAUUUAAAAUACUUUUGCGAUUGUUGAUUUAUUGGAUAGUUAAAAGAGUUGCUUAUGUUUUUAAUGAUCCGUAAAUUACCCAUUGCAUUUUUAAUGUAGUUGGUUUUUAUCUGUUUUAUUUUUUUCAUAACUUGAUUCUAUUAUAAGUUACUGGAAUGAGCACAAAUAAUCAUCACAAUCAAAACAACAAAAACAGCUUUAAAUACUUGUAAUCAGACCAUUAACACAUGAACAGGAGCAAAACAAAUGACUGUACAGUUAUGCUGUAAACUUUGGUCUUCCUAAGCGUUCUUUGUACCACUGUUUCAUGCUGUACCUUGUUCCAUUUCUUGUGCAGUGCUGCAGUGUGUCCAACUUGCUCAGUUGUUUGUAGUUUUUUCCAAGGUAUUUUGUGGGAAAAUGGAAGGGAUGCUGGCAUUUCACAGUGUCUGAUGUCAGCAAAAGGGCCAGCAUGAUGUCCAAGGACACGCCAGCUCUGGAGGAUUUUGAGUCUCUGCUGCAACUUGACAAGGACCUGUAGCCUGGUGUCCACCUGGAAGUGUGGGAACACAGCAAGAAAUCUUCAGCCAGAAGUAUUGUAGUGCUGGCUUAACAUUUGACUCAGUAGGCUUUCACAGAUGCAGCCUCUAGUUUUCCAGCGUGGCCGAUUGUAUUUCAUCUCAGAGCGCUCCGGCCCGGGAAGCAGCCGCAAUCCUGGCUGCUGCCCAGCUGGCCUCUGCCCUAGUUCCUCUCCCACUACAGCAGGCUAUGGGAUCUCUCCUUUUCAGGGCUAAACCGUGCCGCCCACUUUUGAUCAUUAAAGGAAAUGAAGCUGAAAUCACAUCUGAAGAAGUAAACAAGACUCACGUAUGAAGGCACUGAAAUGGCAAAGCAAGCAAUCUCAAAGGCGAGUGCACACAGCACGGGCUGCCACUCGUUCCCCUGGUUCAGCAGUGUUCUACAAGCACUUGGCAGAGCUAUAAAUGAUGGCACGAGGUGCUAGGCGGUGAAGAAUAAAAUCCCGAGUAUUUGGCUUUCAAGGAAAUUUACAAAAGCCACCAUCUCAACAGCCAAGAUUUACAUGUGUCUUCCAAGAAAGAAUUACUUUUCUAUGGGAAAGCAAUCGUCCCCUGCAUUGCUGAGCUAAUGAUGUAUAAAAUAACUCUGACACGCCAGAGUCCCACGGUGGCACCAGCCAACAGCAAAGAGAAAAGGGAUUCCAAACAAGCUGUUGGUGACCAGAAAACAACUUGAAGCAGAUCGUUAGCAAUAAAUCUUAAUAUGACAUUGGAGCCGAGCUCAUCUUACAAAGAGCAAAGAGUAGACGGAGAAAAGCAGAUGGCAGAGCCUUUCCCAGUGGUAUAAACAGAGAUGAGUGCGUAUCGUUUCUGAGUACUGUAGAAGUCCCUGCCCAUCUCAGUUGUGUAAAUAACCAGAAAGAACAUUAAUACAUUUCUAAGGACUGAGUUUUAAUUGUUCUGUGUUUUAUAACCAUUGCUUGCGUCUCGUUCUAUUUACCAUGGCAAUAGUUCCAAAUAUUCCACGUUAUGGAAAUGAUGACGUUCAGCUGGAAAUGUUUUACCUGCCAAGUCCUGAACUUCAUACUAGCGGUUAUCCGGCAGUAGCUGGCGGCAGAACAAUCCUACUGCAGCAUAACUGGGGGUUACAUCCUUUACAUGGUUACAUUUAAUCACUUCUGAUGCCUAUCUAAGUUGUAGCCAAGUACAAGGAAAUACAGAUUCUACACUCAAAUUUUUGGAAGUAUGAAAAUAAGAGCAAUAGCAAUAAGAAUAAAGCAUAAUUAUCACAACUGCCUGUCCAAGGAACCCGAGAUUUGUUGUAUAUUAUGAGUGGAUCAUCCUUUGUUCAAGUCUUUUCUGCAAAAGUUGUUGUGUGUAAAUGCCAUGCAAACCAUGAAAUCUGCCUCGGUACCGAAGCACUGGAAGAACUGUGGACCUGAUCAUGCCGAACAUACCAUCACAUGCAUAAAAUUAAGAAGCUAAAAACUCGAGUGCUUAUUAUUUCUGUGAUGCAUGUUAAUUACAAUUCUUUAAGGGCUAUCUGUAGCAACAGGAUCAAAAAAAAAUCAGAUAAUAAAAGAACUUACAAAAAAAUCCAUGUCCGUACCGUUACACACGACUAAAACUUUCAUUUUUCUAUGCUAUUUAUGGGUAUAUUUGUGUGGAAACCUUUUAAAAAUGUCCUUUACAACUUCUUGAGAUUUACUUACACCAUUUCAUAGUUCUGCAGAACAAAGCUGACGUCUCCAGAUGGCAAAUAUAAACACCCAAAGAUGGACUGCCACUCAAAGACACGUGGGGAAUAUUUGCCAAAGCUAAAUACAGCACUAAAAGAAUUUCAAUAGUGGAGUAGAAGUUCUUCUGAAAACACCAUUAAUACUGGCACAAUAGACCUAACUGAUGCGGUGGAGGCGGUGAGCUGCACUCAAAAUCUUUGCUACCCACAAAAAGGCACUUAUUUCUGGAUUGUUAUAUAGUGAGGAAAUCAUACAGUAAAUCAAAGUGACGUAUUAUUCAGACCCUGCUAUAAAGUGCAGCACAUAUUAAGUGGCAUACAAGAAACAUGCACAUGUGCAUGGCUGGGGAAGUGUGCAUGGGAUUCAACCAUUUUGAUGAAUAAAUAUUUGAGACUUUUACAGUUCCUCAGUAUCUUCUUUUAUGUGAUCAAAUAACUGCAACUACAAAUUUUACUUGAGGACUGACAUUUUUGUAUUACAACAGUUUCUUUGUUGCUCCAAACAGCAACGCAUAUACUACAAAUCAGUUCAGAAAGAAGAUGCUUUCCAUUGUACUCAUCCUUAUUAUCAAAAAGAGAAACUAUGUGCACAAAGUUUUUCAUAGCUUUUUUACCAGCAGCAUUAGUCUCCUUCAGACAUUGGCCAGGGUGGGUGGAGACCUGCCAUAAUGCGCUACACAUUCUGUCUGAGCUGUAACAACAGAAGGCAUUCCUUGUGAGCUGUGUGAUUCCAAACGUCUAAGGACGGGAGAAGGAGUUCACUCAAUAUAGUGAAUAAGUCCUUUCAACUUUGCCACAUUCUCCAAACAAAAAUUGCUUUAUGAAUACGCUGUUUGACAAAUAUCCUCAUCUGGAGAGGUUCAAAAGGUUCAAAAACCUCACUCCCACCAACCUCAACAGAGGUAGAUCUUUUUGGUGAUCAGCCCUUGUUUCAGACACCAGUUCUGUAAGUUGUAUGGUUGCAUCAGACACUCGUGGCUUUCAGAGGCUUGUCUACACACAAACCCCCUGAGAAAUACUGAGAUUGCCUGGGAAGACCACACCUUCAGGUACUUUGGUCCAAGUCUACACGUACACCCUCCUAGGGGCUUUCUUUCCCAGCAUAACUCUGUACACUGUAUAUUGUCAACAAGAAAGAAAUGGGAUUUCUGUUUAUUCCUAAAUCAUGAUUAAAACAUUGUAUUUUGAAAGGGUGUAAUGUGAACUAAUGCGUCUGCAUUGACUAGAUCUUCAUGGCUGAAUGCUGGAAAGGAGAUCUGCGGCAACAGUAAGACCCAAUAACUGUUCCACAGUGCUACUAGAGUUCUCUCUGCCGUGCCUGUCUAUGCUACAGAACUGAAAGAUGUACAGCUAUGGUGUCAUACACAAGCCUCAAAUAGCUGUAACGAGGCUUUGCUGUGAUAGCUGCAUAACAAUUUCAUUCCCCAGCAGAAUAUUUUCUAUGAAGAAAACUCAGCCUACAAUUGCAGCUGCCACACAGAGCAUUUUUUGAAGUCAAAAAGCACAGAGUAACUUCAGGUGUGGAUGGGGUCUGGAAUAUGAUCCAUGGAGAUGCCUCCAGCAUGCCUCAUGACACUCUGGCUUUGGCAACUAUUUGGGUGAAGAAGUUCUGCCCUCUGGUCUCCAGCUACUCACUACUCUAUUCUGUAGAGUAGAGCACUACAACUCUUUUGUAGAGCUCACCAACUUUAUUUUGUGUGAAAAGAUACAUACAGUGGUCCACUGCCCAAUCCAAGAAAAGCUGUCCUCAGUUUAAUAUUCUACCUACUUUGAUAGCAGAGGCAUCAACAAUCACAGCACGAAGAGUUCAGCAGCUGAAUUAUAGCAGCAGUAAUAAUGAGAGCACAAGUGGGAAUCCCAGGAAAACCUUAAUCAUUAUCAUUAACAUUUUAUUUUCUGCACUGCUAUCCCUGCUCCAAUGUACCACAAUUUGCUGUACCAGGCUAUUCAAUGCCCGAUGUCAGUAAGAAUCUGCAUAAAUAUAAGGAGCAGGAUAGCUGUGAUGAAAAAGUCAUCAAAAGCUGGAACUGCCAUGGGACCUUUUGAUAUUUUAAAAUUAUUUUUGUUCUGCCGUGUUGUACAGUUUUAGAUCAGGUAUGGUUUUGAGGUACAAGGGAUGUUGUUACAAGGACAUAGACAGAUUAUGCCUAGACUCCCUUGUACCUAACUCAUUUAUAUAUAUGCAUCCUUGCAAACCAUGCUGCAACUCCUGGUUUCAUCACUGGUUUGCCCAGCUUACUCUCUUAGUCAACUCAGCGUUAAAUGGAAGUAGCAAAACCCACCAGGUUGCAACAACAAUGAAUUUUGGCAAAUGCUGUGGAGAGUUUUCUCUCUAAGCUUGACAUUCAGAAAGAGAAACAAACUUAAAAUAGGAACCAUUUACAAUGGAUCAUCAUGUGGAUAAAUGUACUAAAAGCCCAACAGAGGGAACUUCUGAAAUGCAUGAGCUCCAAACACCAGAGAUAUAUAGCUAGAAAUAUCUUCCUCGCUGAAGAUGAUGAUCUACUGUGUAUUUCUAAGGAAAACUAUAAUGAAAGUAAAUAAUAUUAAGUGUUUUAUAAAGCGGUUCAUUAACUGAAAAAGGAUGUUUCUUCCUUGAACAAAUUGUCUUAGAAAUGUUCCUUCGGGGUCCUGCCUUCAUUUUUAAAACAGAAUUGUGCCAGCAGACCUACUUUAUAUAGUUUUACAUCAAUUUUGCAAUCAGGUUUUCUGUUUACAAGCUCUCUGGGCUUAACUUCACUGUAAAGUUAACAUGAGUUAGAAUUUAUUCUGGUUAUAAUCAGAAUCCUUUCUACAUCCGAAAAAAAGAAAAAUAAGCCUGAGUCUGCAGUUGCUUUUCAUUUGAGGCAGUGAGGCUAACAGGAAGAUACAGGCUGGUAUGACAGUGAGCCUAACUCAUCAGCUACUCUGCAUUGUGAGCACAGGUUUGCACUAUUUGAAUGCUGCUGAUCUUCCUAUGCCUUCCCACUCCUCUUUCCUUAUUCCUGACAAGAUCCCACUCAUCCUUCCUUAUUCCUGGCAGGAUCCUGCUAAGACCUGGGCCAAAAGUAAUGGCUCAGUCACUGACAGGGCUGACCAGAGCCAUAAGCAGUUUCAGAAACCACAGCCUAUGGUUUCACGGUGUAAAGUUUUCACGGUAAAAGCAGCUUUACUUAGCCCUGUCCCAUCAUCCUUCCUCAGCUCUGCCCUUCUCAACCAUAGCACUGCUCAUUUAUGCUGACCCAUCAUUAUCUAAAAGUCCAGAAAUGAAGUGUUUUUAAGAAAGAUCCCUGGCUCACCACAUGGAUCAGCAUCAUUUUGCCAGCACAACAGUAAGGGCUUCAAUGUGAGCACUGAAGCAGGUCUGAAACCCUACAGCAGUAUUGGUACUAAGAACUUCUCAUUCAGAAGCUCAGCACCAGGCACAAGUGAAAGUACAAAGACAUGCUCCUUAGGGAGCCUGAGGCUCCAGGUGUCCCUUUAUAUCUUAAAAACUGUCUUGAAAGUGCUCCCACAGGAGCAACAGAUUACUUGUAAAUGCCAACACACGUCAUUAGUGCUCAAUAGGUAACGAUAAACUCUGUCUCUUCAGGUUUCCAAGAAAAGAGUAGAUGUUGCACGGACUGAUGUGCUUUGUAGUGUGGUGGUGAUGGGCUGAUGAUUAGACCAGGUGGUCUUAGUGGUCUUUUUCAACCUUAAUGAUUCUAUGAUUCUAUGAGAGAAGCUUGAGAACAAUUGGCUGUAAUUUUCCUAACAGAAAGCAUCUGAAGCCCCAUGACUUGAACUUCUGAAAUAUAGUCCCGUCUCUCAGCAAAAAGGACAGAACCAGAGAAUCAAAAUGUCCAGUAGCCACUGUUCUCACAUUGUACAAGUUGCUGAUGGAAAGAGGAAACAGGGAAAUGCAAAGACAUUGCUGCUGUUUUCUGUAAAAUAUUGAAAGAAUUUCUCAUAACUGAAAGGAAUUUUUCUUUGCUGCUCUUAUACUUGAUGCUAGCAAGAGGGAAGAGCAGCAGUUAUUCCAACAUGCCCAACCUGCACCUCUGUAGCUCCACAACGGCUACGAGUUUACAUUUGCCGUAGAGGAAAGUGAAAGCCAUGGCCAACUUUGGUGCCCUUGGCUGUGAACUAUGACUGUUCAGCAGGACUCUGAAAAAAGGAAAUGUGAUCGAGGCAAGAAUGUUUCCAUGUGUCUUACCUUGAGCCAGAGCUUUUUUUCCCUAAAGUCUUGAGCACUGUACAUCAGAAGAAGCUAAGUGACGUGACCUGUGAUACUUACUCUAAAUUAUGCAUGUUUAACAGCACCCAAGGACUAUCCAAUCUAUUACAUUGGACACUGAACACUGAAAGGUUUGCAACCUAAAGGGCUGUUUUUCAUUAUCCACUGAGGGUGAAUUUAGCUCUAAACAAAAUAUACAGGAAAACACAGUUGCUAAUGCAGUGGAAAUUAUUACUGGGUAAUAAUUUAUGGAUCUUGUUUGUUGACUUUGCUAUUGGGAAAUUCACUGUCUAAAUAUAUUGGCUUGAUUUAAUAAGGGAAAAUCAGGCUGACCUAAUAGGUGACUGUAAGAAAAAACAUGCAGCCAGGAUUAA
Meleagris gallopavo (turkey) is the source of this 7582-nucleotide non-coding RNA. NCBI's taxonomy places the organism in Eukaryota, Metazoa, Chordata, Aves, Galliformes, Phasianidae. The record is from RefSeq and is a predicted model, not a curated record.